Molecule: ribosomal RNA, 363 nt
Filed under: Staphylococcus epidermidis NIH051475
Lineage: Bacteria; Bacillati; Bacillota; Bacilli; Caryophanales; Staphylococcaceae
Description: bacterial SSU rRNA
Rfam family: Bacterial small subunit ribosomal RNA
Source: RNAcentral
UUUUAUGGAGAGUUUGAUCCUGGCUCAGGAUGAACGCUGGCGGCGUGCCUAAUACAUGCAAGUCGAGCGAACAGACGAGGAGCUUGCUCCUCUGACGUUAGCGGCGGACGGGUGAGUAACACGUGGAUAACCCACCUAUAAGACUGGGAUAACUUCGGGAAACCGGAGCUAAUACCGGAUAAUAUAUUGAACCGCAUGGUUCAAUAGUGAAAGACGGUUUUGCUGUCACUUAUAGAUGGAUCCGCGCCGCAUUAGCUAGUUGGUAAGGUAACGGCUUACCAAGGCAACGAUGCGUAGCCGACCUGAGAGGGUGAUCGGCCACACUGGAACUGAGACACGGUCCAGACUCCGUACGGGAGGCAG